AUGACCACACCAAGAACCAAGGAUGCAGGCAGCGGCCUAAAACACGACGAUAUAGUCUUUAAACAUCGAGUGAGGAGCCCAAGAGCGAGUGCACCCGGACAGCUCCAGCCGCCUCUGCAGGGCAACCCCACCUCAGCCACCGCUGCCGCUGCCGCUGUUGUAGGGCCCUCAGAGAUCCACACUGGCCUCCCCGAGAACCAGCCCACCCGCCUGCCACCACCAGCCACGCUAACAGCAGACCAACCACCACAGAGGUGCCCAAGUGAGAGCAGAAGAGGCGGCAUGAGCGAGGCAGGCAAGGCCGCCACCACCACCAGCACCACCCUCCGCAGGCUCCAUUCUGGCGACAGGAAACCCAGGUAGGGACGCUGCCCCCACAGCCACCGGUACCACGGCCACCUCUUCAGCCCCCGCUGGCAGCAAAGACACAGAGAAAAACGUUCUCCAAAGUCCUUGGCACUGUCAAAUGGUUCAACUUCAGAAAUGGAUAUGGAUUUAUAAAUUGAAAUGACACCAAAGAAGAUGUAUUUGUACAUCAGACUGCCAUCAAGAAGAAUAACCCACGGAAAUAUCUGCGCAGCGUAGGAGAUGGAGAAACUGUAGAGUUUGAUGUGGUUGAAGGAGAGAAGGGUGCAGAAGCAGCCAACGUGACUGGCCCAGACGGAGUUCCUGUGGAAGGGAGUCGUUAUGCUGCUGAUGGGUGUCGUUACCGACGUGGCUACUAUGGCAGACGCUGUGGACCUCCCUGGAAUUACGCUGGGGAGGAGGAGGAGGAAGGGAGCGGCAGCAGUGAAGGAUUUGAGCCCCUGCCACUGACCGGCAGUUCUCUGGGGUCUGGAAUCAGCUGCGCCGCCCUCAGUACCAGCAGCAGCGGUUCCCGCCUUACCACGUGGGACAGGCCUUUGACCAUUGCUCACAGGUCUUUCCCCAUCCCAGCAGAAUGCAGGCUGGUAAGAUUAGAGAGAUGAAGGAUGGGGUCCCAGAGGGAGCACAGCUUCAGGGACCAGUUCAUCGAAAUCCAACCUAUCGCCCAAGGUACCCUAGGGGACCUCCUCGCUCACUACCUGCCCCAGCUGCAGGAGAGGCUGAAGAUAAAGAGAAUCAGCAAGCAGCCAGUGGUCCAAACCAGCCAUCUGCUCACCGUGGGUACCAGUGUCCCUACAACUAUCUGCGUUGCCCCCGUCCUCUUAAUGCUCCUUCACAAGAUGGCAAAGAGACCAAGGCAGGUGAUGCCCCAACUGAGAACCCUGCUCCCUCCACCCAGCAGAGCAGUGCUGAGUAACACCAGGCUCCCGGGCACCUUCACCAUCUAUAGGGUGACCUAAAGAAUUAAUGACCAUUCAAAAGUAAAAUAAAGCAAAAAGCAGACUACAACCUUAUCAACACCAAAGAAACAUCCAAGCAAUAAGUGGAAGACUAACCAAGAUUUGGACAUUAGAAUGUUUAUUAUUAUUUUUCAAGAAACUAACAACUGCAAAAGGAAAAUGUCAGCAGAUUUUUCCAGCAAGCUGAGAUCCUGGGAAUGCCUGCACGAAAGACUACAGAGCAACCUCCCCAGUUUCAGUAACCACUAGGUUUAUAUUUUUUCCUGGUUUUUACUGUUUUGGUAAUAUGAAUUGAAAGAAAAGAAAUAUUAAUAUCACAUGGGGAGAACCCCAACCAAAUAAAUCUGAAAUAUAUAGUAAAUGCUUUUUUUCUUUUUUAGUUCAUUUUGGAUGCUGGUGCUAAACUUCCAAGUGUCAUGAUUUAAAAAGAAAUUUUAUGCCCUUCUUAUUUAUUUCUAGGAUGAGGGGAGGAUAACAUUUUUGCUUUCUUAUGUGACUCUCUUUGACAAUGUGCAGUAAGAAGUUCCUCAAAAAUAAAAUUUUUAUCCUUCA
Nycticebus coucang (slow loris) is the source of this 1877-nucleotide RNA transcript. It is a transcript of the gene named Y-box-binding protein 3-like, with no coding region annotated. The transcript is spliced from 2 exons. The record is from RefSeq and is a predicted model, not a curated record. Lineage: Eukaryota; Metazoa; Chordata; Mammalia; Primates; Lorisidae.